GACGAACGCUGGCGGCGUGCUUAACACAUGCAAGUCGAACGGAAAGGCCCUGCUUUUGGGGGAUGCGCGAGUGACGAACGGGUGAGUAACACGUGAGUAACCUGCCCUUUACGUUGGGAGAACUUCAGGAAACUGUGGCUAAUACCGGAUAGUAGCUCCUGCUGCAGGGUGUUGGUUGGAAAGGUUCGGCGUGUGGGGAUGGACUCGCGGCUUAUCAGCUUGUGGGGGGGGUAGUGGCUUACCAAGGCUUUGACGGGUGGCCGGCCUGAGAGGGUGCCCGGCCACAUGGGGUGUGAGACACGGCCCAGACCCAUAGGGGAGGGAGGAGGGGGGAAUAGUGCAAAAUGGGCGGAAGCCUGACGGAGAAACGCCGCGUGCGGGAUGACGGCCUUCGGGUUGUAACCCGCUUUCGAGUGUGACGACGCGUGAGGGACGGUAAUGGGGAAAGAAGCACCGGCUACUUACGU
This 467-nucleotide ribosomal RNA is filed under the name uncultured bacterium. RNAcentral's name for it is "partial 16S ribosomal RNA". It matches the Rfam family "Bacterial small subunit ribosomal RNA", at positions 28 to 506 of the family's 1533-position model. The record is from RNAcentral.